ACAACAUUCGGACCGUCGGUCUACCGAGCCAUUACACCCGCUCGCUGGAAGAUCUUACCUUCGCCGC
Molecule: microRNA precursor, 67 nt
Filed under: Bombyx mori (domestic silkworm)
Lineage: Eukaryota; Metazoa; Arthropoda; Insecta; Lepidoptera; Bombycidae
Description: mir-2774 microRNA precursor family
Rfam family: mir-2774 microRNA precursor family
Source: Rfam by way of RNAcentral